GUGGGGAAUCUUGCGCAAUGGGCGAAAGCCUGACGCAGCCAUGCCGCGUGAAUGAUGAAGGUCUUAGGAUUGUAAAAUUCUUUCACCGGGGACGAUAAUGACGGUACCCGGAGAAGAAGCUCCGGCUAACUUCGUGCCAGCAGCCGCGGUAAUACGAAGGGGGCUAGCGUUGCUCGGAAUUACUGGGCGUAAAGGGCGCGUAGGCGGACAGCUUAGUCAGAGGUGAUAGCCCAGGGCUCAACCUUGGAAUUGCCUUGGAUACUGGCGAUCUUGAGUUUGGGAGGGGGGAGUGGAACUCCGAGUGUAGAGGUGAAAUUCGUAGAUAUUCGGAAGAACACCAGUGGCGAAGGCGACUCACUGGCCAAAUACUGACGCUGAGGCGCGAAAGCGUGGGGAGCAAACAGGAUUAGAAACCCGGGUAGUCC
RNAcentral lists this ribosomal RNA (425 nucleotides) under uncultured bacterium. RNAcentral describes it as "partial 16S ribosomal RNA". It matches the Rfam family "Bacterial small subunit ribosomal RNA", at positions 354 to 796 of the family's 1533-position model. The record is from RNAcentral.